AUCAACGCUGGCGGCGCGCUUAACACAUGCAAGUCGAACGAGAAAGCGGGGGCAACCUCGUGAGUAAAGUGGCGUACGGGUGAGUAACACGUGGAUCAUCUACCCUUUAGCCUGGAAUAACGCUGGGAAACCGGCGCUAAUACCGGAUGAGCCCGAGAGGGGAAAGCAGCAAUGCACUGAAGGAGGAGUCCGCGGCCGAUUAGCUAGUUGGCAGGAUAAAAGCCUACCAAGGCAAAGAUCGGUAGCCGGCCUGAGAGGGCACACGGCCACACUGGCACUGAAACACGGGCCAGACUCCUACGGGAGGCAGCAGUGGGGAAUCUUGCACAAUGGGGGAAACCCUGAUGCAGCGACGCCGCGUGAGCGAUGAAGCCCUUCGGGGUGUAAAGCUCUUUCGGCAGGGAAGAAACAUGACGGUACCUGCAGAAGCAGCUGCGGCUAACUACGU
RNAcentral lists this ribosomal RNA (448 nucleotides) under uncultured bacterium. Its description in RNAcentral is "bacterial SSU rRNA". It matches the Rfam family "Bacterial small subunit ribosomal RNA", at positions 32 to 506 of the family's 1533-position model. The record is from RNAcentral.